AAAUGAUAUUUUAAUUACUAUAUAAAAAAAAAAAAAUUAAAUUAAAUUUUUUUUGGUUAGGUAAGAAACACGCAUUCACAAAUUGGGCUACCAUUUGAUGCAUGUGAAGUUGGGCUAAUGGGCCAUUGGUCAGCUGUCGUUUCUCAUUCCGUUUCCUUCCAAUUAAUUCCAUCCCCCUUUUCCCCACUCUUUUAAAAACAAACGCAAAGUUCAAAAUUUCAAGCGAACCGAAGUGUUGGGCUUCUCUGUCAUUACUCAAUUCGUUGUGGAUGUGGUUACAAGCAAAAAGGUUCAACUUUCACGCUCUCCUAUACGAUGAUCGAACACGAUAGGUGGAAUUCAUCGAAUAAAAUCAGUGACGGUGCAAUCUCCCAGAGCCUAUGGAUAUUGAUGAGAAGGAGCAUAUGGUCAGAAAUGCUGGCCGAAUGGGAAUUCCAUCUGUCCUCUGGCUAUGGCACAUGCCGCAUACCCAAAUGGAUUGAUGGCUUCAUUGAGCUCAGUGUAAAUUUUCUAGUUGCCAAAUGAAAGAGCAGAAAACAGGGAAGACUAGGAUUGUGUCUAAUGAUGGUGGAAGAAUGAAUGGAGGACCUAAAAGUGAUGGAGGGAGCACAAAUAAAGGCCCAGAAAAUAUUUUAGUUGGGAACAUCAUUUCUGGAUGGAGCAAAAUAUUGGGUGGAAAAAAUAAGGCUUAUUGCAGUGGUUGUAUUGUAAUCAAAGAAAGGACUUCGUUGCACGUGUUGCUCACGAGUAUGUGUUGGUUUUGGCGACAGUUGGUGUGCGGUAAGGUCCACCUUAGCUAUUCGGACGACGGACUUGGUCAUGUAUUCUAGUCCGGACUUUGGAUGGUUUUGUUUAAAAAAUUUUAUUCUUUUUUAACUUGAUCCAUGUAGAAUCCUAGUUGAAAAGUUAAGAUAUUUAUACAUAUUAUUGUUAAAUAUUUGCUUA
This is an RNA transcript of Cornus florida, 945 nucleotides long. RefSeq lists it as uncharacterized. The record is from RefSeq and is a predicted model, not a curated record. The transcript has 6 exons. NCBI's taxonomy places the organism in Eukaryota, Viridiplantae, Streptophyta, Magnoliopsida, Cornales, Cornaceae.